Molecule: long non-coding RNA, 772 nt
Organism: Hordeum vulgare subsp. vulgare (domesticated barley)
Lineage: Eukaryota; Viridiplantae; Streptophyta; Magnoliopsida; Poales; Poaceae
Exons: 4
Source: RefSeq, a predicted model, not a curated record
AGACCCCUCCGCCGAUGCCAGACAUUUCUGCGGUUGGAACGAAUAGCUCCCGAGCCGCAUCGCACGACCCUUCUCCAGGGCAAUCUUCUUCAGGUGAACCCGCCCCUAGCAACCCCGGUGAUUCACAUCCUUGAUGAUGACGACGGAAAAAUCUUUGAAGAAGAAACUAUUGUUGAAGGCGAAACCAUCCGUUCAAGCAGGUGGCCAUGUACAAGUUCGUAUGCGAACCCAGUUAAUUUUCUCCCGGACAAGAACAGCCAUGAGAGGAGGGAUUCUCCAUCUUCAGCAGCAGAUUCCUCUGCCAAGAACGAUUCUCCACUGUGGUAGCUGAAGCUUCACCAAGGAAUAAUUCAAGUGUUUUGGCGACUGAAAACAAUCUAACACCUGGCAAGAGACAGGCAUCCAAGGAGACAUGAUGGGAUAACAGUAGGCUAGUGGGUUGUUAUAUACUUGUAUGUUCUUCGUAAGGCUGAAGACAUGCAACAACCCGAAGGAUGCAAGUUAUCAUGAAAUAAAAAUCCAUCCAGCAGAUGUAUGUGGCCGAUGCUUGAUUCAUUUCAUUGAACCAGUCUCAGCAGCAUCCAUUGGGAACAAUUUGUUGUCUUAAGUCUCAAGGUAUAUGCUACCUGAAUCAUGCUAGUUAUCUUCUAAAAAUAAUCUGCCCCGCAUGUUAGGCGAUGCUAGAUUCAUCUCAUCGAAUCUGUUUCAGCAGCAUUUUUUGCCAACAAUUAUAUUUCACUCUGAGUAUCAGUAUGCACUUUGAGUUUAGUUU